UACAGAGGGUGCUAGCGUUGUUCGGAAUCAUUGGGCGUAAAGGGCGUGUAGGCGGUUUGUUAAGUCAUGUGUGAAAUCCCUCGGCUCAACCGGGGAACGACGCAUGAAACUGGCAAGCUAGAGUACCAAAGAGGGGGGUGGAAUUCCUGGUGUAGCGGUGGAAUGCGCAGAUAUCAGGAGGAACACCGGUGGCGAAGGCGGUUCUCUGGGCAUGUCCUGACGCUGAGGAGCGAAAGUGUGGGGAGCGAACAGG
RNAcentral lists this ribosomal RNA (253 nucleotides) under uncultured bacterium. Its description in RNAcentral is "partial 16S ribosomal RNA". It matches the Rfam family "Bacterial small subunit ribosomal RNA", at positions 524 to 776 of the family's 1533-position model. The record is from RNAcentral.